Molecule: long non-coding RNA, 218 nt
Filed under: Elaeis guineensis (African oil palm)
Lineage: Eukaryota; Viridiplantae; Streptophyta; Magnoliopsida; Arecales; Arecaceae
Description: long non-coding RNA (EGUI_LNC076231)
Source: RNAcentral
GCCGAAACCCAUGAAAUACUAUAUUUAAAGAAGAAAAAGAAACAAAUGCUUUCAAAAGAAGAGUUAAGUUAACUAGUAAAAGAACAGUAAAAGCUUGGAUUCCAUCUUGCAGAAUCCUGGUACCACUAUGGUGUUUUUCUUUAGUACCUUCUCUCUUUUCUUGGUUUCAGAUGCUCCUCAUAGCACUGGGACUAAGAACUUUCAGUAUGGGGUGGGCC